ACUCAAAGGAAUUGACGGGGACCCGCACAAGCAGUGGAGUAUGUGGUUUAAUUCGAGGCAACGCGAAGAACCUUACCAAGGCUUGACAUCCCGCGACAAACGUGGAAACACGUCUUCCCCUUCGGGGGCGCGGAGACAGGUGGUGCAUGGUUGUCGUCAGCUCGUGUCGUGAGAUGUUGGGUUAAGUCCCGCAACGAGCGCAACCCCUGCUGCCAGUUGCCAUCAUUAAGUUGGGCACUCUGGCGGGACUGCCGGUGACAAAUCGGAGGAAGGUGGGGAUGACGUCAAAUCAUCAUGCCCCUUAUGUCUUGGGCUACACACGUACUACAAUGGCCGUUACAGAAGGAAGCGAAGCCGCGAGGCGGAGCGAAUCCCCAAAGGCGGCCCCAGUUCGGAUUGCAGGCUGCAACUCGCCUGCAUGAAGUCGGAAUUGCUAGUAAUUGCAGGUCAGCAUACUGCAGUGAAUACGUUCCCGGGUCUUGUACACACCGCCCGU
RNAcentral lists this ribosomal RNA (496 nucleotides) under uncultured bacterium. Its description in RNAcentral is "bacterial SSU rRNA". It matches the Rfam family "Bacterial small subunit ribosomal RNA", at positions 899 to 1397 of the family's 1533-position model. The record is from RNAcentral.